GAGCUGAUGAACUAAUGGAAUUUUAUAAGUCAGAUUUGAAAUUGAAGAAGUUCUUGCACAUAAUAGAGAACUCGCCUUUGUGUUCCUGUUAUCUAUGAUUCAAAGAGCUCCCUCCUCAUACAAUUCAUAUUUGACCGUCGAUGAUCAAGGUUGAAAAGGACCCGAAGCUUUUAGAUAUCAGGACCGUUGAUGCACUCGAAAUAGUACAAACAAGCUCUGGGAGAUGCAAAUAGUGUCUUCUCUAGUAAACGAGCAGCUCUAAGAGGUAGUAUUCUUCUGAACAUUUGGACUGUUGAAAUAUUGUCUAUUCUUAAAACAGUCCAAAAAGAGAUUUUUCUCCAAUUUUUUUUCUAUACUUGGAUGUGCUUCUUUUAUUUUCUUGAUUCGAAAUAUGCAUAAGUAAAAAAAUGCA
Molecule: long non-coding RNA, 412 nt
Organism: Eucalyptus grandis
Lineage: Eukaryota; Viridiplantae; Streptophyta; Magnoliopsida; Myrtales; Myrtaceae
Exons: 4
Source: RefSeq, a predicted model, not a curated record